CCCGCCCGUCGCUCCUACCGAUUGAAUGGUCCGGUGAAGUUUUCGGAUCGCGGCGACGCCGGCGGUUCGCCGCCGGUGACGUUGUGAGAAGUUCAUUAAACCUUAUCAUUUAGAGGAAGGAGAAGUCGUAACAAGGUUUCCGUAGGUGAACCUGCGGAAGGAUCAUUG
This 168-nucleotide ribosomal RNA is filed under the name Rhynchostegium serrulatum. RNAcentral describes it as "partial 18S ribosomal RNA". It matches the Rfam family "Eukaryotic small subunit ribosomal RNA", at positions 1667 to 1831 of the family's 1831-position model. The record is from RNAcentral. Lineage: Eukaryota; Viridiplantae; Streptophyta; Bryopsida; Hypnales; Brachytheciaceae.